RNAcentral lists this ribosomal RNA (225 nucleotides) under uncultured bacterium. Its description in RNAcentral is "partial 16S ribosomal RNA". It matches the Rfam family "Bacterial small subunit ribosomal RNA", at positions 109 to 334 of the family's 1533-position model. The record is from RNAcentral.
AGUAACACGUGGGCAACCUUUCCUAUCGCGGGGGAUAACACCGGGAAACCGAUGCUAAUACCGCAUGUCGUCACUGGUCGCAUGGCUGGUGAAGAAAGCAGCAAUGCACGAUGGGGUGGGCCCGCGGCCUAUCAGCUAGUCGGUGGGGUAACGGCCUACCGAGGCGAUGACGGGUAGCUGGUCUGAGAGGACGGCCAGCCACACGGGGACUGAGAUACGGCCCAG